AAUAUUGCGCCAAUGGGGGAACCCUGACGCAGCCACGCCGCGUGAGCGAGGAAGGCCUUCCGGUCGUAAAGCCCUGUUUAGAGGGAUGAUAGUGACAGUACCUCUUGAGGUAUCCCCGGGUAACUACGUGCCAGCAGCCGCGGUAAUACGUAGGGGGCAAGCGUUGUCCGGAUUUACUGGGCGUAAAGGGCGCGUAGGCGGUAGCAUAAGUCAGAUGUGAAAGUCCAGGGCUCAACCGUGGAAUUGCAUUUGAAACUGUGCUACUUGAGUGCAGGAGAGGAGAGCGGAAUUCCUAGUGUAGCGGUGAAAUGCGUAGAGAUUAGGAAGAACACCAGUGGCGAAGGCGGCUCUCUGGACUGUAACUGACGCUGAGGCGCGAAAGCGGGGGUAGCGAAC
RNAcentral lists this ribosomal RNA (396 nucleotides) under uncultured bacterium. RNAcentral describes it as "partial 16S ribosomal RNA". It matches the Rfam family "Bacterial small subunit ribosomal RNA", at positions 360 to 773 of the family's 1533-position model. The record is from RNAcentral.